This 429-nucleotide ribosomal RNA is filed under the name Chloroflexota bacterium. RNAcentral's name for it is "Chloroflexi bacterium partial 16S ribosomal RNA". It matches the Rfam family "Bacterial small subunit ribosomal RNA", at positions 355 to 776 of the family's 1533-position model. Lineage: Bacteria; Bacillati; Chloroflexota. The record is from RNAcentral.
UGGGGAAUAUUGCACAAUGGGCGCAAGCCUGAUGCAGCCAUGCCGCGUGUAUGAAGAAGUUCUUCGGGUUGUAAAGUACUUUCAGCGGGGAGGAAGGGAGUAAAGUUAAUACCUUUGCUCCUUGACGUUACCCGCAGAAGAAGCACCGGCUAACUCCGUGCCAGCAGCCGCGGUAAUACGGAGGGUGCAAGCGUUAAUCGGAAUUACUGGGCGUAAAGCGCACGCAGGCGGUUUGUUAAGUCAGAUGUGAAAUCCCCGGGCUCAACCUGGGAACUGCAUCUGAUACUGGCAAGCUUGAGUCUCGUAGAGGGGGGUAGAAUUCCAGGUGUAGCGGUGAAGUGCGUAGAGAUCUGGAGGAAUACCGGUGGCGAAGGCGGCCCCCUGGACAAAGACUGACGCUCAGGUGCGAAAGCGUGGGGAGCAAACAGG